CCGGCGCACGGGUGAGUAACACGUAUCCAACCUGCCGUCUACUCUUGGCCAGCCUUCUGAAGGAAGAUUAAUCCAGGAUGGCAUCAUGAGUUCACAUGUCCGCAUGAUUAAAGGUAUUUUCCGGUAGACGAUGGGGAUGCGUUCCAUUAGAUAGUAGGCGGGGUAACGGCCCACCUAGUUAACGAUGGAUAGGGGUUCUGAGAGGAAGGUCCCCCACAUUGGAACUGAGACACGGUCCAA
Molecule: ribosomal RNA, 240 nt
Filed under: uncultured bacterium
Lineage: Bacteria
Description: partial 16S ribosomal RNA
Rfam family: Bacterial small subunit ribosomal RNA
Source: RNAcentral